GCGGCCGAUUAGGUUGUUGUUGGGGUAACGGCCCAACAAGCCUUUGAUCGGUACGGGUUGUGAGAGCAAGAGCCCGGAGAUGGAUUCCGAGACACGAAUCCAGGCCCUACGGGGCGCAGCAGGCGCGAAAACUUUACAAUGCGGGAAACCGUGAUAAGGGAACCCCGAGUGCCCGUAAAUUCGGCCUGUCCACCAGUGCAAAUAACUGGUGAAGAAAGGGCCGGGCAAGACCGGUGCCAGCCGCCGCGGUAAUAC
RNAcentral lists this ribosomal RNA (255 nucleotides) under uncultured Methanolinea sp. RNAcentral's name for it is "partial 16S ribosomal RNA". It matches the Rfam family "Archaeal small subunit ribosomal RNA", at positions 217 to 476 of the family's 1478-position model. Lineage: Archaea; Methanobacteriati; Methanobacteriota; Methanomicrobia; Methanomicrobiales; Methanoregulaceae. The record is from RNAcentral.